RNAcentral lists this long non-coding RNA (1084 nucleotides) under Nicotiana tabacum (common tobacco). RNAcentral's name for it is "long non-coding RNA (NTAB_LNC015444)". Lineage: Eukaryota; Viridiplantae; Streptophyta; Magnoliopsida; Solanales; Solanaceae. The record is from RNAcentral.
GUGGUGGGGGUGGGGGUUGUGAUGUGGGGUAUGGGGUACCAAGUGGAAAGUAGGACCCACAAUGGACUGUCUGGUGAGCUAUAGGAGAGGCAUUGCACAUCCUUUGAUGCCCACAUAGUUGCCUCUUUACUCGACCAUUACAAGUUUGGACCACUCCUCAAUCUCCCCUAUAAGAACUCCUCUUUGCUCUCUCCCUUCUCACAUUCAAACUUCAACACAAAAUCUCAAAGCUCUAAACCAAGAAAAGCAAAAGAAAAUCCAAGAAUCUCUUCAAAAGACGCUCAAAUUUUCAUCAUUUCUUGAUUUUUAUCCUCUCAUCACAAUUGAGUUAAAGAUGAAGAUGAGCAGCACAAAUAUGGGAAGUUCGAAGAGGAGAAUUUCAAGCAGAGGAGUUGGAGGAGUACUUAGAGAACAAAGGGCAAAACUUUACAUUAUUAGAAGAUGUGUAGUGAUGCUCCUUUGUUGGCAUGAUUGAAAGAGCAAAAAAUAAAACAAGAAAAAAAGGGAAUUAAUUAAGGGGUUUAACUUUCUCUAUAUUCUUCCCUAUUUUUCUUUUCCCUCUUCUUGGGAGUGUACAUAUCAUGGAGGAUAUUAGCUAAAAGGGGUUUAACAAUUUUGUACUAAUUUAGCUUAUUAAGGUUUCCUGUAUACAUAUCGGAUAGUGUUAAUUAAGGAAAAUGAUUUUGAUUAUAUUGUGUCUAAAUUCUCUUCCUUCCUCUUUUCUUAGAUCAAUGGUACUUCAUGACUUCAACUUUCUUCUGUAUUAAAUUCUAGUAUUCCUAUGUUAAAUUGUGGGGUUUAGUGAUCUAUGAUUUUGUUGAUUCUUUCCCUUUUGAUCACUUAAUCCCUACAAGAAAAAAGGUUCAAAUCACAAUUCAAUUGAUGUGAAGUGUUUGAAAUUCAAAAAAAAUUGCACAAUGAUAUUGAUCUUGGGAGUUUUUUCCUUUUUUUCUGUGUGUUAUGUGUUUCUGCAAUUAGUUGAAAGGAGGAUUAUCAAAUGUAAUUUAGACCCACAUUCCAAAGAAACAUAGUAGGAAAUGUGUAAUUCUUUCCUUGUUUAUUUUCUUCCAUUCUUCUCUUCUUU